Molecule: ribosomal RNA, 804 nt
Filed under: uncultured Roseiflexus sp.
Lineage: Bacteria; Bacillati; Chloroflexota; Chloroflexia; Chloroflexales; Roseiflexaceae
Description: bacterial SSU rRNA
Rfam family: Bacterial small subunit ribosomal RNA
Source: RNAcentral
GCAUGCAAGUCGCACGCAGGGAAGCGUAAGCUGCCUGAGUGGCGCACGGCUGAGGAUCACGUGGGAACAUGCCUCCUUGUGGGGGACAACACCGCGAAAGCGGUGCUAAUCCCGCAUACGCUCGGGCAACCGAGGAAAGCGGUAACGCGCAGGGAGAGUGGCCCGCGGCCCAUCAGGUCGUUGGUGGGGUAAUGGCCUACCAAGCCGGUGACGGGUAGCUGGUCUGUGAGGACAGACAGCCAGACUGGGACUGAGACACGGCCCAGACUCCUACGGGAGGCAGCAGCAAGGAAUUUUCGUCAAUGGGCGCAAGCCUGAACGAGCAACGCCGCGUGGAGGAUGACGGCCUUCGGGUUGUAAACUCCUUUUUCGGGGGACGAUAAUGACGGUACCCCGGGAAUAAGGCUCGGCUAACUCUGUGCCAGCAGCCGCGGUAAUACAGAGGAGCCAAGCGUUGUCCGGAUUGACUGGGCGUAAAGCGCACGCAGGCGGAUGCGCGCGUGGGGUGUGAAAUCUGGCCGCUUAACGGCCAGGCGCCAUCCCAUACGGCGCGUCUGGAGGGAUGCAGAGGUCGAUGGAAUUGCCGGUGUAGUGGUGAAAUGCGUAGAGAUCGGCAGGAACACCCAGGGGAAACCAGUCGACUGGGCAUCACCUGACGCUGAGGUGCGAGAGCGUGGGGAGCGAACCGGAUUAGAUACCCGGGUAGUCCACGCCGUAAACGAUGGCCACUCGGCCUUUGGUGCCAGAUUCUCUGGCGCUGGGGGCCUUAGCUAACGCGGGAAGUGGCCCGCCUGGGAACUACGA